RNAcentral lists this ribosomal RNA (468 nucleotides) under uncultured bacterium. Its description in RNAcentral is "partial 16S ribosomal RNA". It matches the Rfam family "Bacterial small subunit ribosomal RNA", at positions 28 to 507 of the family's 1533-position model. The record is from RNAcentral.
GACGAACGCUGGCGGCGUGCUUAACACAUGCAAGUCGAACGGAAAGGCCCUGCUUUUGUGGGGUGCUCGAGUGGCGAACGGGUGAGUAACACGUGAGUAACCUGCCCUUUACUUUGGGGUACCUUCAGUGAACUGGGACUCAUACCGGAUAUGAGCUCCUUCUGCAUGAUGGGUGUUGGAAAGUUUCGGCGGUUGGGGAUGGACUCGCGGCUUAUCAGCUUGUUGGUGGGGUAGUGGCUUACCAAGGCUUUGACGGGUAGCCGGCCUGGGAGGGUGACCGGCCACAUUGGGACUGAGAUACGGGCCAGACUCAUACGGGAGGAAGCAGUGGGGAAUAUUGCAAAAAGGGCGGAAGCCUUAUGCAGCAACGCCGCGUGCGGGAUGACUGCCUGCGGGUUGUAAACCGCUUGCGCCUGUGACGAAGAGUGAGUGACGGUAAUGGGUAAAGAAGCACCGGCUAACUACGUG